RNAcentral lists this ribosomal RNA (534 nucleotides) under uncultured Bacteroidota bacterium. RNAcentral describes it as "bacterial SSU rRNA". It matches the Rfam family "Bacterial small subunit ribosomal RNA", at positions 340 to 876 of the family's 1533-position model. Lineage: Bacteria; Pseudomonadati; Bacteroidota. The record is from RNAcentral.
UACGGGAGGCAGCAGUAGGGAAUAUUGGUCAAUGGGCGAGAGCCUGAACCAGCCAUGCCGCGUGUAGGAUGACGGCCUUCUGGGUUGUAAACUACUUUUCUACAGGAAGAAAAAGCUUAUGCGUAAGCAAUUGACGGUACUGUAGGAAUAAGCACCGGCUAACUCCGUGCCAGCAGCCGCGGUAAUACGGAGGGUGCGAGCGUUGUCCGGAUUUAUUGGGUUUAAAGGGUGCGUAGGCGGCUCUUUAAGUCAGUGGUGAAAGCCCGCAGCUUAACUGCGGAACUGCCAUUGAUACUGGAGAGCUUGAGUACGGUUGAAGUAGGCGGAAUUUAUGGUGUAGCGGUGAAAUGCAUAGAUACCAUAAAGAACACCGAUAGCGUAGGCAGCUUACUAAGCCGUAACUGACGCUGAGGCACGAAAGCAUGGGGAGCGAACAGGAUUAGAUACCCUGGUAGUCCAUGCCGUAAACGAUGAUAACUCGCUGUUAGCGAUAUACUGUUAGCGGCCAAGCGAAAGCGUUAAGUAUCCCCCUGG